This 3501-nucleotide unclassified non-coding RNA is filed under the name Hevea brasiliensis (rubber tree). Lineage: Eukaryota; Viridiplantae; Streptophyta; Magnoliopsida; Malpighiales; Euphorbiaceae. The record is from RNAcentral.
CCCGUCCAUCUUUUCGAUUCGAAAUGAAUAUUUACGGCCUUCCCCAUAUUCGUCCUGUGAUCUUCUCUUCUCCUUCCUCUAAUCCAAUUUUCCUCAAGUUCACGACAUGCCCCUUCCAAAGCCCCAAAUUCACCAUACAAUCCCCUUUCCUUCAUCUCCCACAGAUGCCCUUCUUGCGGACAAAGCCCUAACGCUCCUUAAACGCCAUCCUUACCAACUAAAUUCCCUGUCUUCCCAUUUUACCCCUGAAACAGCUUCCUAUUUACUCCUCAAAUCCCAGCAUGAUCAAACCCUCACCUUAAAGUUCAUCAAUUGGGCUCAACCUCACCCAUUCUUCGACCCUCGCUGCAAGUGUCUUGCCCUUCACAUUUUAACUAAAUUCAAGCUCUACAAACCAGCACAGACCGUAGCUCAGGACUUAGCUGUGAGUACAGCGGAUGAUACUGGUAGUUUCGUGUUUCAAUGUCUUAAAGAAACGUACCACUUUUGUAAUUCCAGCUCUGCUGUCUUUGAUUUAGUGGUAAAGUCUUACUCCCAUUUGAAUUUUAUUGAUAAAGCUUUAAACAUUGUAAAUUUAGCUAAAUUUAAUGGAUUUAUGCCUGGCGUUUUGUCCUAUAAUGCCAUUAUAGAUUCAAUAAUUAGGUGUCAAAAACCUAUUAGAUUUGCUGAGGAGGUGUAUAGGGAAAUGAUUGCAAGUGGGAUUUCUUUAAAUGUGUAUAGCUACAAUAUUUUGAUUAGGGGUUUUGUUAGGGCGGGGAAUUUGAAAAUGGGUUUAAAGUUUUUUAAGGAAAUGGAGAGGAAUGGGUGUUUGCCUAAUGUGGUGACAUAUAAUACAAUGAUUGAUGCACAUUGUAAGUUGAACAGGAUUGACGAAGCUUUUGGUUUAUUGAGAUCAAUGGGUUUGAAGGGUUUGGAGCCGAAUUUGAUUACAUAUAAUAUGGUAAUAAAUGGGCUGUGUAGAGAUGGGAGAAUGAAUGAAUCUAGUGAGAUUCUUGCAGAGAUGAGUCGAAAGGGUUAUGUUCCUGAUGAAGUAACUUAUAAUACACUCGUAAAUGGAUAUUGCAAAGAUGGCAAUUUCCACCAAGCACUUGUUUUGCAUGCAGAGAUGGUGAGAAAUGGAUUGUCACCCAAUGUUGUUACAUAUACUUCAUUAAUUAAUUGUAUGUGUAAGGCUGGAAAUUUGAAUCGAGCAAUGGAGUUUUUUGAUCAGAUGCAUGUUAGAGGACUUCAUCCAAACGAGAGGACAUACACAACAUUGAUCAAUGGGUUUGCCCAAAAGGGGUUCUUGAAUGAGGCUUAUCGGAUUCUGAAUGAAAUGCUCAGGAGUGGAUUCACACCUUCAAUUGUGACUUAUAAUGCCCUUAUUAACGGACAUUGUGUUUUGGGGAGGACAGAAGAGGCCAUAGGCUUGUUACAAGACAUGGUGGGUAAAGGGUUGUCCCCUGAUGUUGUAAGUUAUAGUACUAUCAUAGCUGGAUUUUGUGGUAAUCAAGAGUUGGAAAGGGCAUUUCAAAUGAAACUGGAGAUGGUUGAGAAAGGUGUUUUGCCAGAUGCCAUCACCUAUUCAUCACUUAUUCAAGGUCUUUCUGAACAAGGAAAGCUAACUGAAGCUUGUGAUCUGUUCCAAGAGAUGUUGACUUUCAGGCUGCCUCCUGAUGAAUUUACGUAUACAACUUUGAUCAAUGCUUAUUGUAAAGAAGGAGAUUUGAAGAAGGCUCUUCAUUUGCAUGAUGAAAUGAUACAUAAAGGAUUUCUACCAGAUGUUGUCACUUACAAUGUGCUUAUUAAUGGGCUUAAUAAACAAGCUCGAACAAAGGAAGCCAAGAGACUUCUGCUUAAGUUGUUUUAUGAUGAAUCUAUCCCAUCUGAAGUAACGUAUGAUACACUGAUAGAAAAUUGCUGUAAUAUUGAAUUUAAGAGUGUGGUUGCACUGAUGAAGGGAUUUUGCAUGAAAGGUAUGAUGGAUGAAGCAGAUCGAGUUUUUGAAUCAAUGAUUGAGAGAAACCACAGCCCAAAUGAAGCUGUAUAUAAUGUUAUCAUACAUGGUCAUUGUAGAGGUGGAAAUAUUCAGAAGGCAUAUAAACUUUACAAGGAAAUGGUUCAUUUUGGCUUUGUUCCUCAUACUGUGACUGUAAUUGCUCUGGUAAAAUCACUUUUUUUAGAGGGAAUGAAUGAAGAGUUAAAUCAAGUUAUAGAGAACAUAUUGAGAAGCUGCAAGCUUACUGAUGCCGAGCUUGCUAAAGUCCUUGUUGAAAUCAACCAUAAAGAAGGGAACAUGGAUGUGGUUUUUAAUGUGCUUACUGAAAUGGCCAAGGAUUGCCUUAUUCCUAGUAGUGGUAGUGGAACUCCUGCCAAUCCUUGGGCAUAGUCUGUUUGAUGUACAAUUCAUUCUUCUAAUCUGCUUUCAAUGGUCACUGGACGUAUUUUGUCAUAUAGAGGAUAUAGUGUGCUGAGUGUCAUGGUUUACUUGGUUUUGCCUUUCUGCUACUUCAAGGGCCAAGUGCUAUGGGAUGCCUACAGAAGAUCCUUAUUGCUUCAUUAUUUUCCUGUGAUUCUGAUGCCAGUGAGUUCUCUUAUCUAUGAUCAAACUUGUCUUUCCUUGUCAGUAGUUCAUGAUAAAUGUAAUUGAAAUUGCAUGCACCAACUGUUCGCUCACCUUAAAUAUAAUUAUAGUGCUUUCAUUGCAGGAGUUUAAAUUGCUUUCCCUGCAUGUGUUGCUAUUGUGCAUAGUUAAUGAAUGCAUACAAAUUCCACAUCCUUGCAGUCUUCUGCUGGGCUUUAGGAUUAACUGCUGAUUAUUGUAGUGUUAUUUUUACACAUUCUGUAUAGUCAGCCACAACUGCUGCCACUAUAAACAACCAACCCCCCCUUUCUUCUCUCUUUUCUUCUUUCUUCUUCCUGUGAAAAAGAAAAAAGGGCAACACCCCCAAAAUCUCUUUUCCUUAUUUCUAUUUGAUUGAUCCAACAGCUAAUAUUCUCUAGUGUGAAGGCAUUCAUAUUUGUUCUUAUGUACAAGUACUUAAUGUCCCUUUUAUUCACCCUAUCCCAUCUACAUCUCCAUGAAUUUUGAGACUUCCAAGAAAUACAUACGAAUGACUAUCCUUUUUCAAGAUUUUUGGACAGGAUCAUUAGAUUUGUAGCCUCUUUUUGUUGUCAUCAUGUUAUUUCAACCACUAAUAUCGCUACAUGAAGAUGGAAAACCGGACUGGUUUAACCAAGAACUGGAGCCUGGACCGGUUCAGUUUUCUUUCAAACCCUGGUUUUGAUAAACUGGUCCUGAACUGGAAUAAAACGGUUGGGUAACCACUGAACCGGUGGGACCCGGCCGGGUUUAAACCGGUUGGUUAGGUUACUGAUCAAACCAUUUAGUCUGAUUACUCAUCAAAAAAUGCUGAGGCACAAGAGGGGAAGUUGGGACUUGAUGACCACCUGGCAUUGCUGGUGCACGGUCACACCACUGCAGCCACAUCAUGAGUUUGGUAUUCUGCCCCUCAAUAUAUA